This is a non-coding RNA of Pogona vitticeps (central bearded dragon), 153 nucleotides long. Lineage: Eukaryota; Metazoa; Chordata; Lepidosauria; Squamata; Agamidae. The record is from RefSeq and is a predicted model, not a curated record.
AUAAGCGUCUGUGACAUGGCCCCGCGGUGACUGGAAUGCUUCCAUUCUGGAGCGAUCGUCCAGCCAAUUCCGAAGCACCUAAACGCACAGCAAGGCCAUGGUAUCCUUCAUCAAAUAACAGAAAAGCAUAACCUUACACUGUGUUAUAAUUUU